CUACAAUUUGAGUAUAAAAGCGUAUCAAUGCCAAUAGGAAAAACAGAAGAAGAUUUUCUGGCACUAGAAACGCAAUGAAAAUGCGCAACCAACACUUGACUCGACAUGGACUCGGUAAUGCCCGAUCGUUGCUCGGACUCAUUAUAAUUUUUGUCAUUUGGCAACAGUGUCAUGCUAUGACUACUUCAAACACCCCAUGUAAAAGGCAACAUACACAAAAGGACUGCGCAAUUAUCAAGGCUAUUUCUCAGGGAGUGGGCGAUUAUUGUAAUAACGACAAUUUUAAAUGUGACACAAGAUUAACAUGCACUUACUCAAAGUGCUGGGGUUGUAUCGACGAUAUAUGUUACCCGGACUGUGGCCGUGUUAAAAGAUUGCCUCCCAACCGUCUACCAAGUUGGUUUCAACGUACGCCGCUUGAAAACUUUGCACAAAAAUAUAUAGAGCCCAAUUAUGAUGACGAAUCUACUAAAUACGCAUCCAUCGAUUAAAUACAUACGUUUUACAUGUAUGCGCAUAUGUAAUAAGUGUCUAAUUAUAUUAAUCUGAAAGUUAUGGUAUAGGCAAAAAAAAAAAAGAAAUUGAACAAAAAAAUAAUAAUGAUGAGAAUGCAUGAAUACUGCAAGCACAAAUUCACCUUGUUUUAAAUGGAAAACAUAAAUUUUUGAUUUAUUGAGCAA
Drosophila sulfurigaster albostrigata is the source of this 680-nucleotide long non-coding RNA. RefSeq lists it as uncharacterized. Lineage: Eukaryota; Metazoa; Arthropoda; Insecta; Diptera; Drosophilidae. The transcript is spliced from 2 exons. The record is from RefSeq and is a predicted model, not a curated record.